UACGGGGGGAGCAAGCGUUGUUCGGAUUUACUGGGCGUAAAGGGCGCGUAGGCGGUCAGCACAAGUCAGUUGUGAAAUCUCCGGGCUUAACUCGGAAAGGUCAACUGAUACUGUGCGACUAGAGUGCGGAAGGGGCAACUGGAAUUCUCGGUGUAGCGGUGAAAUGCGCAGAUACCAGGAGGAACACCGGUGGCGAAGGCGGGUCUCUGGGCCGUAACUGACGCUGAGGAGCGAAAGCGUGGGGAGCAAACAGG
This 254-nucleotide ribosomal RNA is filed under the name uncultured bacterium. RNAcentral describes it as "partial 16S ribosomal RNA". It matches the Rfam family "Bacterial small subunit ribosomal RNA", at positions 524 to 776 of the family's 1533-position model. The record is from RNAcentral.